UAUGUGAUCGUCUCUCGCAUAUCAAUAAGCGGAGGAAAAGAAACUAACAAGGAUUCCCCUAGUAACGGCGAGUGAAGCGGGAAGAGCUCAAAUUUGAAAUCUUAAAGGGUUUCCCUUUACGAAUUGUAGUUUAAAGAAGUGUCUUCUGUUGAGGUUUUGGUAAAAGUUCUUUGGAAUAGGACAUCAUAGAGGGUGAGAAUCCCGUAUUUGACCUUUACUUUCAACUUUGUGAUACACUUUCAAAGAGUCGGAUUGUUUGGGAAUGCAGUCCAAAAUGGGUGGUAAAUUUCAUCUAAAGCUAAAUAUUGGCGAGAGACCGAUAGCGAACAAGUACCGUGAGGGAAAGAUGAAAAGAACUUUGAAAAGAGAGUUAAACAGUACGUGAAAUUGUCAAAAGGGAAGCGUUUGACACCAGUGUUGUUUUUCUGAAAAUCAAUUAAAGAACUGUUUAUGCUAAGCUGUUUAGACUUUAUCAGCUAUCUGUUUAGUUUUGAGCUUUUCUUUAAUGCACUUUUCAGUUAACAAGUCAACAUCAAUUUCUUUUGCUGUAAAAAAGCUUGAGGAAGGUGGCUUGAGAUUCGUCUUAAGUGUUUAUAGCCUCUUGCCUAUGCAGUCGGAGAGAUUGAGGUCUGCAGCGUAGAUCCUUCGGGGCUAAAUGCAUUUGUGCUAAGUUAUAGCAUUUUAUAGACAACUUGUUGACUAUGAUUUGUCUUGUAGCUUACUCGCUUAUGUUAUUUUACCUACGCUUAGGAUGUUGACACACGCGCGUGCUCG
RNAcentral lists this ribosomal RNA (774 nucleotides) under uncultured Neocallimastigales. RNAcentral's name for it is "partial large subunit ribosomal RNA". It matches the Rfam family "Eukaryotic large subunit ribosomal RNA", at positions 24 to 643 of the family's 3401-position model. Lineage: Eukaryota; Fungi; Neocallimastigomycota; Neocallimastigomycetes; Neocallimastigales. The record is from RNAcentral.